Molecule: ribosomal RNA, 492 nt
Filed under: uncultured bacterium
Lineage: Bacteria
Description: partial 16S ribosomal RNA
Rfam family: Bacterial small subunit ribosomal RNA
Source: RNAcentral
AGUGAACGCUGGCGGUAGGCCUAACACAUGCAAGUCGAACGGCAGCACAGUAAGAGCUUGCUCUUACGGGUGGCGAGUGGCGGACGGGUGAGGAAUACAUCGGAAUCUACUUUUUCGUGGGGGAUAACGUAGGGAAACUUACGCUAAUACCUCAUACGACCUACGGGUGAAAGCAGGGGAUCUUCGGACCUUGCGCGAUUGAAUGAGCCGAUGUCGGAUUAGCUAGUUGGCGGGGUAAAGGCCCACCAAGGCGACGAUCCGUAGCUGGUCUGAGAGGAUGAUCAGCCACACUGGAACUGAGACACGGUCCAGACUCCUACGGGAGGCAGCAGUGGGGAAUAUUGGACAAUGGGCGCAAGCCUGAUCCAGCCAUACCGCGUGGGUGAAGAAGGCCUUCGGGUUGUAAAGCCCUUUUGUUGGGAAAGAAAAGCAGAAGGUUAAUACCCCGCUGUUCUGACGGUACCCAAAGAAUAAGCACCGGCUAACUUCGUG